UAGAGUAGUUCUUUGAAAGGUGAUAGUGUGAUUUGCAUAGCAUAAGAUGAAAACUGCAUCUCUGUUAUGCAGUUAGAUUUUGCAAAUAAAUGCUUGUUAGGAUCCAAUUAUUAAAAGAUGCCUCUGCCUGAAUUAAGAUGCAAAUGAGACCAUGUACCAAAGUCAAUAGUAUGGUUUUAUUUAGCAAUAAAUAUGAGGUAGAGAGAGAUAGAAAUAGAAAGAGAGAGAGAGAGAAAGAGAGAGACAGAUUAAGUAGAAAGAUAAAGAUAAAAAUAUCAUCACCACAUGGAUUCUAACAGGGUCCCGCUGGUCCUUCUGGUCUUCUUGGUGAUGAUGGUCCCAAUGUCGUGCUUUUUGGGUACUGCUUUUAUGCAGUCCAAGUCCCGGAUAUUCACAGGGAGUCUCAGAUGUUCCCACAACUUGGGAUGGCAUGAGUGUAAGCAGUUGUUUUCUUUCUCACAGCGUGCACAGUGGAAUUUUGUCCAGUGUGCUAAUUUCAAACCUUUACCUUCAUUUAUGUCUAUAAUUAAUGCUUCCUUUCUCACCGUUUUGCACAGUGGGAAUCUUUGUUCAAGUAGGUUACCCAGAUCUGUCUUACCAGACCUGGUUCCUGUUGUUGCCAUCUGCUCUUAUCACAAGUUCCUGUAGUGGUGGCUUAUCUUAUGGAAAUUUCCUUCUUUGACAGUGUUUUGAAACAAUUCAUGGCAUUCUUUAAGUCCUGUCAAUGCUUUAAUGUGCAUCAAUGAGUGGAGAACUGAAACCUAAAAUAUAAACAGAGAAGGCAGAAUUGAAGCUUACAGGAAGAGUUAACAUAAAAAUACUUUUUCACAUUUUUCCAGGGAUGUGAUGAAAAACCAAAGUAGUUUUGGAAAGGUAGGAUUUAGAUAGUAACUCUUCUGCUUAAGGAGAAAUAUAAUUAUAGCAGCACUUAAGUUUGCUUAUUCUUGAUCACAGUGCUUGCUACUAUAGUACCAAUUCAGAAUGACAUUAUACUUAAUACAAAAAUCCUUUUUUAAAUCUGUAAUUAAAUACCUAGGAGUAGCAGUAAGCCAGUAAGCCUAAACAUAAAAAAGACACAUAUUUUCUGAUGGCUAAGCACUCCACGAGCAUUCCAUAAACAACUUACCACACUGGAAUUAGGUAUAUACUGAUGAGGGUUUUAACUAUUUUCUGCUUUUGUGUCCACAGAACAUUACUGCUAACCUUAUACAACUUGCUGCUAUGGCAGAAUUUUAUUUUUUUAUUAUAUAUUGUAGGCAAGGAGCAAACUAAUAGUUAAAAAAGCCUUCAAACUCUGUAGCACAUGCCAUGAUAAAUCUGGUUGAGUUCAGAUAGGGAUGAAAUUACUUAAAAUAAAUGGGCUGCAUACUUUGAGAAAGUAUUUAUGUCCAUAUGAAUGUUUGUUCAAAAGGGAGAAGAAUAAAGAAAUUGAUCACUUUCCAGAGAUCUGAACAAAAUGCAGUACAUUGUACAGAAUACAGUAAAAUAAAAUUAUGGUGAACUGGAUGUAUUUUGGGUGUUCUUUUUUUAAUGCCUGAAUGUUUAAAAAAUUAUUAGGGGAAAUUGUAUUUUGUCACUUCUGUGGACAGUGCUUUCUUUGAAGACAUGAACUUUUAAGAUGCACUAACGUUAGGUGUGGGAGCCAAGUGCCAUUUUGAGAUACUCUCUGAAAUGGAAGAAAAAUUGGAAAAAAGACCUUCUUGCAACUACAUCUUGUGUCACAGACUAUCUAAAGAAGCCCAGUGCAUGUGGGCAGGCUUCCAGACUGCAGGAAACACUGGAGCUACCAUGUCAGGAAGUAGGGAUGCUUGUUUGCAAGGUGGUACUGUGGUGUGUGAGUCAACAAGCAGCAGAUUGUGAUCAGGCACUCAGUAUCCCUACAUUAGUACUUCUUGUAUAUAGUCUUCUUAAAAUGCUUGUUUUAAAAGAAAAUGUUGACUUGUUAAAAGAAAAACUUUGACUUUUGCAAGUUAUUUGUUAUUUAUGUGUGAACCUUUGUUCUGAAGAGCAAGAGAGAGAAAGGAAAAGCCCCUUACCACCUUCUUGUAUCUGUUUGCAAUAAAUAAUAUGCCUGUGUUGGUUUAGAACUGAACUAAUUUAAGUGUAAAACAGAUUGAUUUAACAGUACAGUUUUAUUCAGUUACUGUGUUAGUUAUGCUUAUGCAUCUGCAUUAUUGUAACAUUAAUCAAAUGAGGUGUGCAGCAGGCAAGGCUGGCCAGCUAACAAAGGAAAAAAAUCUGUUUUUCAAACAUGCCAAGUGAGUUAUGCAGCAUUAACACUGAAGAGAGACUGUGGAGUGAAAGACUGUGGCUGGAAUGCCAACAGGUUCAAACUUAUUGAUUAGAUGUAUUCAGAUCAACGCAGCCUUCUGAGACAUACCUGAGGCUACCAAGAGCAUUGGCCUGGUCAGCUUCUGCUGAGAGAGGUACCAUUGUUCUGACGAACAAAAAUGUAUUUUUGUAAAUACAAGGUCCUUGUGGUCACUAAAGACGUAAGAGACUGCCACUGUUAAUUUGCCAAGAAAUCAUGUAAAAAUAACACUCUGCUGCCUUUGUCAGGAUAACUAGCUUAGCUGUUAAAAAAAAAAAAAAA
Long non-coding RNA from Neopelma chrysocephalum (saffron-crested tyrant-manakin), 2593 nucleotides. RefSeq lists it as uncharacterized. The record is from RefSeq and is a predicted model, not a curated record. The transcript is spliced from 2 exons. NCBI's taxonomy places the organism in Eukaryota, Metazoa, Chordata, Aves, Passeriformes, Pipridae.